Molecule: ribosomal RNA, 2925 nt
Filed under: Escherichia coli
Lineage: Bacteria; Pseudomonadati; Pseudomonadota; Gammaproteobacteria; Enterobacterales; Enterobacteriaceae
Description: bacterial LSU rRNA
Rfam family: Bacterial large subunit ribosomal RNA
Source: RNAcentral
GGGUUGUGAGGUUAAGCGACUAAGCGUACACGGUGGAUGCCCUGGCAGUCAGAGGCGAUGAAGGACGUGCUAAUCUGCGAUAAGCGUCGGUAAGGUGAUAUGAACCGUUAUAACCGGCGAUUUCCGAAUGGGGAAACCCAGUGUGUUUCGACACACUAUCAUUAACUGAAUCCAUAGGUUAAUGAGGCGAACCGGGGGAACUGAAACAUCUAAGUACCCCGAGGAAAAGAAAUCAACCGAGAUUCCCCCAGUAGCGGCGAGCGAACGGGGAGCAGCCCAGAGCCUGAAUCAGUGUGUGUGUUAGUGGAAGCGUCUGGAAAGGCGCGCGAUACAGGGUGACAGCCCCGUACACAAAAAUGCACAUGCUGUGAGCUCGAUGAGUAGGGCGGGACACGUGGUAUCCUGUCUGAAUAUGGGGGGACCAUCCUCCAAGGCUAAAUACUCCUGACUGACCGAUAGUGAACCAGUACCGUGAGGGAAAGGCGAAAAGAACCCCGGCGAGGGGAGUGAAAAAGAACCUGAAACCGUGUACGUACAAGCAGUGGGAGCACGCUUAGGCGUGUGACUGCGUACCUUUUGUAUAAUGGGUCAGCGACUUAUAUUCUGUAGCAAGGUUAACCGAAUAGGGGAGCCGAAGGGAAACCGAGUCUUAACUGGGCGUUAAGUUGCAGGGUAUAGACCCGAAACCCGGUGAUCUAGCCAUGGGCAGGUUGAAGGUUGGGUAACACUAACUGGAGGACCGAACCGACUAAUGUUGAAAAAUUAGCGGAUGACUUGUGGCUGGGGGUGAAAGGCCAAUCAAACCGGGAGAUAGCUGGUUCUCCCCGAAAGCUAUUUAGGUAGCGCCUCGUGAAUUCAUCUCCGGGGGUAGAGCACUGUUUCGGCAAGGGGGUCAUCCCGACUUACCAACCCGAUGCAAACUGCGAAUACCGGAGAAUGUUAUCACGGGAGACACACGGCGGGUGCUAACGUCCGUCGUGAAGAGGGAAACAACCCAGACCGCCAGCUAAGGUCCCAAAGUCAUGGUUAAGUGGGAAACGAUGUGGGAAGGCCCAGACAGCCAGGAUGUUGGCUUAGAAGCAGCCAUCAUUUAAAGAAAGCGUAAUAGCUCACUGGUCGAGUCGGCCUGCGCGGAAGAUGUAACGGGGCUAAACCAUGCACCGAAGCUGCGGCAGCGACGCUUAUGCGUUGUUGGGUAGGGGAGCGUUCUGUAAGCCUGUGAAGGUGUGCUGUGAGGCAUGCUGGAGGUAUCAGAAGUGCGAAUGCUGACAUAAGUAACGAUAAAGCGGGUGAAAAGCCCGCUCGCCGGAAGACCAAGGGUUCCUGUCCAACGUUAAUCGGGGCAGGGUGAGUCGACCCCUAAGGCGAGGCCGAAAGGCGUAGUCGAUGGGAAACAGGUUAAUAUUCCUGUACUUGGUGUUACUGCGAAGGGGGGACGGAGAAGGCUAUGUUGGCCGGGCGACGGUUGUCCCGGUUUAAGCGUGUAGGCUGGUUUUCCAGGCAAAUCCGGAAAAUCAAGGCUGAGGCGUGAUGACGAGGCACUACGGUGCUGAAGCAACAAAUGCCCUGCUUCCAGGAAAAGCCUCUAAGCAUCAGGUAACAUCAAAUCGUACCCCAAACCGACACAGGUGGUCAGGUAGAGAAUACCAAGGCGCUUGAGAGAACUCGGGUGAAGGAACUAGGCAAAAUGGUGCCGUAACUUCGGGAGAAGGCACGCUGAUAUGUAGGUGAAGUCCCUCGCGGAUGGAGCUGAAAUCAGUCGAAGAUACCAGCUGGCUGCAACUGUUUAUUAAAAACACAGCACUGUGCAAACACGAAAGUGGACGUAUACGGUGUGACGCCUGCCCGGUGCCGGAAGGUUAAUUGAUGGGGUCAGCGCAAGCGAAGCUCUUGAUCGAAGCCCCGGUAAACGGCGGCCGUAACUAUAACGGUCCUAAGGUAGCGAAAUUCCUUGUCGGGUAAGUUCCGACCUGCACGAAUGGCGUAAUGAUGGCCAGGCUGUCUCCACCCGAGACUCAGUGAAAUUGAACUCGCUGUGAAGAUGCAGUGUACCCGCGGCAAGACGGAAAGACCCCGUGAACCUUUACUAUAGCUUGACACUGAACAUUGAGCCUUGAUGUGUAGGAUAGGUGGGAGGCUUAGAAGUGUGGACGCCAGUCUGCAUGGAGCCGACCUUGAAAUACCACCCUUUAAUGUUUGAUGUUCUAACGUUGACCCGUAAUCCGGGUUGCGGACAGUGUCUGGUGGGUAGUUUGACUGGGGCGGUCUCCUCCUAAAGAGUAACGGAGGAGCACGAAGGUUGGCUAAUCCUGGUCGGACAUCAGGAGGUUAGUGCAAUGGCAUAAGCCAGCUUGACUGCGAGCGUGACGGCGCGAGCAGGUGCGAAAGCAGGUCAUAGUGAUCCGGUGGUUCUGAAUGGAAGGGCCAUCGCUCAACGGAUAAAAGGUACUCCGGGGAUAACAGGCUGAUACCGCCCAAGAGUUCAUAUCGACGGCGGUGUUUGGCACCUCGAUGUCGGCUCAUCACAUCCUGGGGCUGAAGUAGGUCCCAAGGGUAUGGCUGUUCGCCAUUUAAAGUGGUACGCGAGCUGGGUUUAGAACGUCGUGAGACAGUUCGGUCCCUAUCUGCCGUGGGCGCUGGAGAACUGAGGGGGGCUGCUCCUAGUACGAGAGGACCGGAGUGGACGCAUCACUGGUGUUCGGGUUGUCAUGCCAAUGGCACUGCCCGGUAGCUAAAUGCGGAAGAGAUAAGUGCUGAAAGCAUCUAAGCACGAAACUUGCCCCGAGAUGAGUUCUCCCUGACUCCUUGAGAGUCCUGAAGGAACGUUGAAGACGACGACGUUGAUAGGCCGGGUGUGUAAGCGCAGCGAUGCGUUGAGCUAACCGGUACUAAUGAACCGUGAGGCUUAACCUUACAACGCCGAAG